GUCUAUAGUGAAUUAUGUUUACAUGCUACACUUGUGAGCCAAUGGAAGUUAGUAUUUGGCACAAGAAUUUCUCUCCAUCAUUGCAUUUUCAUUCCCACAGUUUGACUGUGUUCUGUUUGUAUAAUUUGAGACUUAUGAAUGCAUCUAUAAUAAAUUGUUGAUAUUAUUUGUGCAGUACAUUUGUUCUUUUCUCCAUCUUUUCUUGUCUGUUGAAUCCGUAUAUUUGUGGUGCUCUAGGCUCGUCGUGGUGGGGAUGAGCCAUUUGCUUGGGAAAGCAGGGAGUAUCUGAGGAAACUCUGCGUAGGAAAGGAGGUCACAUUUAGAGUGGAUUACACUGCUCCUAACAUCGGACGAGUAUUUGGCACUGUCUACCUUGGCGACAAGAACGUUGCCUACUUGGUGGUUGCUGCAGGAUGGGCAAGGGUGAAGGAGCAAGGCCCCAAGGGGGGUGAACCACUCCCAAAUGUCUCUGAGCUUCUGAGGUUCUAGGAAGUUGCUUAGCAACUUCCUUUAGGCCGUUGGAGCAAGGUUUGCUUUCUUUUGGGGUACCUGCUGUCCUGCAACCAUCUUUUGAAUUGCAUGACACAAAUGUUCAAUCGAUAAAAGAUCUUAUUUUCUGUGUUCUUAUUUUGUGUUCUUAUUUUCUGCCAACUUAGGAACCUGGUGCUGCCGAAGAUUCGAUAAAAGAUCUUCCACCUUCAGCAAUUGGCGAACUAAGUGGUUUUGAUGCAAAGGGUUUUGCAGUUGCAAAUAAAGGCAAGAGUCUGGAAGCCACUCGUGUUUACUUGCUUCCUAGUUUCCAUGGCCCUUUAUUCUGUUAGAAAGUAAAUAUUUAUUCUGUUAGAAAGUAAAUAUUGAGAAUGAUGAAAUGCAGGCUCCGUCCAUGGGGAGACGUCCUGUGAUGCCUGUGAUGCCUAUAAUGUAUGUGAUGGAUGUACAUUAUUAUACGUGGUGCCUGUGAUGGAUGUAGAUUUCAUGGGGUGGGUGUAUGAAAUGCGAUGGAUGUAAAUUUCAGAUUCGACCUAAAUCUCUAUUCAUAUGAUGGCUAGCGGCGGAUCUGUGAUACCUGGAGUGAGUGUAUCUGGCGGCGGAUCCUGGACGACUUCGGCGGUGGCUCGUCACGUCCUGGACGUCUCCGGCGACAGGUCCUGAAAGGGAUCGGUGCCGGAUCCUGGAAGCGAUCAAUGGAGGGUCCUGCACGGGACCAGCGCCGGAUCUAAUGGAUGUGCGAGUUACGCGCCGGCGGUUUUGAUGUGCCAGGGCGGCAGUGCAUGGAUGGAUGGGUGGCGGUGAAGGACCGAAGGGCGGCGGCGGGCGAAGGAGGGCAGUGUCGGGGCGACUGUUCCUCGCAAGAGGGACACGAGACCUCUCGCUCGAGGACGCACUGUCGGGCGUUUUUUUUUUCGCUGGUUAAUUUUCAUCGGUUUGUGCUCGGUGGUUUAUUUUUGAUUGUCUCAGUUAAUUACGACGGGAGGUUGGGCGUCUGCGGGACUCGAUCGCGGGGUUUUCAUUGGUUUUUUGCGGCUGAGCGAGAGGUGGGAGCAAGUUCCAAAGAAGUACCAAAAAAGACCGUAUUAGGUGGGACGAAAAUAAAACCCGGAACGCGGACUACCAACUGAGACAUUAGGAGUAGAGAUAUU
Aegilops tauschii subsp. strangulata is the source of this 1640-nucleotide non-coding RNA. The record is from RefSeq and is a predicted model, not a curated record. Lineage: Eukaryota; Viridiplantae; Streptophyta; Magnoliopsida; Poales; Poaceae.